RNAcentral lists this ribosomal RNA (517 nucleotides) under Gigaspora rosea. RNAcentral's name for it is "SSU rRNA". It matches the Rfam family "Eukaryotic small subunit ribosomal RNA", at positions 539 to 1068 of the family's 1831-position model. The record is from RNAcentral. Lineage: Eukaryota; Fungi; Glomeromycota; Glomeromycetes; Diversisporales; Gigasporaceae.
UUUUUUGGAGGGGCCAGUCUGGUGCCAGCAGCCGCGGUAAUUCCAGCUCCAAUAGCGUAUAUUAAAGUUGUUGCAGUUAAAAAGCUCGUAGUUGAAUUUCGGGGUUCUACCGUUGGUCGGGCAAUUGUCUGUACUGGCGUGUGGAAUUUCUACCUUCUGGGGAACCAUCAUGUUAUUAAUUUAGCGUGGUGGGAAACCAGGACCUUUACCUUGAAAAAAUUAGAGUGUUCAAAGCAGGCUUACGUCUGAAUACAUUAGCAUGGAAUAAUAAAAUAGGACGGUGGUCCUGUUUUGUUGGUUUCUGAAUCACCGUAAUGAUUAAUAGGGAUAGUUGGGGGCAUUAGUAUUCAAUUGUCAGAGGUGAAAUUCUUGGAUUUAUUGAAGACUAACUUCUGCGAAAGCAUUUGCCAAGGAUGUUUUCAUUAAUCAAGAACGAAAGUUAGGGGAUCGAAGACGAUCAGAUACCGUCGUAGUCUUAACCAUAAACUAUGCCGACUAGGAUCGGACGAGUUAAUAC